Molecule: ribosomal RNA, 426 nt
Filed under: uncultured bacterium
Lineage: Bacteria
Description: bacterial SSU rRNA
Rfam family: Bacterial small subunit ribosomal RNA
Source: RNAcentral
GUGAGGAAUUUUCCGCAAUGGGCGAAAGCCUGACGGAGCAAUGCCGCGUGAAGGAUGAAGGCCUAUGGGUUGUAAACUUCUUUUCUCAGAAAAGAAUUAUGACGGUAUCUGAGGAAUAAGCAUCGGCUAACUCUGUGCCAGCAGCCGCGGUAAGACAGAGGAUGCAAGCGUUAUCCGGAAUGAUUCGGCGUAAAGCGUCUGUAGGUUGUUUAAAAAGUAUUCUGUCAAAGAUUAGGGCUUAACCCUAGAUAGGCAGAAUAAACUUUUAAGCUAGAGUUUGGUAGAGGCAGAGGGAAUUCCCGGUGGAGCGGUGAAAUGCGUAGAUAUCGGGAGGAACACCAAAGGCGAAGGCACUCUGCUGGGCCAAUACUAACACUGAGAGACGAAAGCGAGGGGAGCAAAUGGGAUUAGAUACCCGAGUAGUCC